Molecule: long non-coding RNA, 729 nt
Organism: Chionomys nivalis (European snow vole)
Lineage: Eukaryota; Metazoa; Chordata; Mammalia; Rodentia; Cricetidae
Exons: 3
Source: RefSeq, a predicted model, not a curated record
GGUGUUAGUAGGCGCUGUGCUCUGGUGUGGCCCCCGCAGGACACCGUCCGGGUUCCCCGCGCGACUCCAGGCAGUGGGCGGAGUUAGUCCGCGGCCGUUUCCGCAGGGGCGGGGCGACCGAGGGCUGCGAACCUGGGCGAGGGGUUCCUUCUGUCACCCCUGCAGACCACUGGCUGACUGCGGGAGUGGGGCGUCUAAGUUAGUUCAGGGCUGGGGUGUGACUUACUCGUGCUGGAGGCCCCCAGGUUGAUUUCCAGCCCGCUCUACGCAAACUGGUCGGGGUGCGUGCCUGUGAUCCCAGCCCUUGCGAAGUGGAGGCGGCAGGAUCUUAAAUUCAAGGUCAUUCCUGGAGACCUUAACGGAGAACUUAGAGUUCUGGCUCACUCUGGGAUAGACACUGUAUCUCAAGGCGCUGGAGUUACAGGCAUGCGCCGUGGUGCUGAGGAUCGAACCCAGGACUUUGGGCUAGAGUCAGCUUGAAGGGGAGCAUUCAGCACCCUGGAGCCUCUGCAAAAUGAACCAGCUGCAUGGCUCCAGCAAGGACAAAGUGACAUCUCCCUUUACCUAGAACAUUCUGGUCCAAAGCAGCAGUUUGGCCCAGAAAGUUCAAAUAUCCCCAAAGAUGUCUGUUCAGAGGAAAUAAAGAGGGAAUCGUGUUCAGCUCCCAGCUCCCCAGGCAAGACGGGGCCCUUUGUGUGUUCAGUGCCGAACUGAAGGCGACUCUUUGAA